This 587-nucleotide ribosomal RNA is filed under the name uncultured bacterium. RNAcentral describes it as "bacterial SSU rRNA". It matches the Rfam family "Bacterial small subunit ribosomal RNA", at positions 338 to 916 of the family's 1533-position model. The record is from RNAcentral.
CCUACGGGAGGCAGCAGUAGGGAAUCUUCCGCAAUGGACGAAAGUCUGACGGAGCAACGCCGCGUGAGCGAAGAAGGCCUUCGGGUCGUAAAGCUCUGUUGUCAGGGAAGAACAAGUACCGGAGUAACUGCCGGUACCUUGACGGUACCUGACCAGAAAGCCACGGCUAACUACGUGCCAGCAGCCGCGGUAAUACGUAGGUGGCAAGCGUUGUCCGGAAUUAUUGGGCGUAAAGCGCGCGCAGGCGGUCCUUUAAGUCUGAUGUGAAAGCCCACGGCUCAACCGUGGAGGGUCAUUGGAAACUGGGGGACUUGAGUGCAGAAGAGGAAAGCGGAAUUCCACGUGUAGCGGUGAAAUGCGUAGAGAUGUGGAGGAACACCAGUGGCGAAGGCGACUUUCUGGUCUGUAACUGACACUGAGGCGCGAAAGCGUGGGGAGCAAACAGGAUUAGAUACCCUGGUAGUCCACGCCGUAAACGAUGAGUGCUAAGUGUUAGAGGGUUUCCGCCCUUUAGUGCUGCAGCUAACGCAUUAAGCACUCCGCCUGGGGAGUACGGCCGCAAGGCUGAAACUCAAAGGAAUUGACGG